This 950-nucleotide small RNA is filed under the name Pongo abelii (Sumatran orangutan). RNAcentral describes it as "processed transcript". Lineage: Eukaryota; Metazoa; Chordata; Mammalia; Primates; Hominidae. The record is from RNAcentral.
GAAACUUCUCACCUAUGAAUUUGUAAAGCAAAAAUACUUGGACUACAGACGAGUGCCCAACAGCAACCCCCCGGAGUAUGAGUUCCUCUGGGGCCUCCGUUCCUACCAUGAGACUAGCAAGAUGAAAGUGCUGAGAUUCAUUGCAGAGGUUCAGAAAAGAGACCCUCGUGACUGGACUGCACAGUUCAUGGAGGCUGCAGAUGAGGCCUUGGAUGCUCUGGAUGCUGCUGCAGCUGAGGCCGAAGCCCGGGCUGAAGCAAGAACCCGCAUGGGAAUUGGAGAUGAGGCUGUGUCUGGGCCCUGGAGCUGGGAUGACAUUGAGUUUGAGCUGCUGACCUGGGAUGAGGAAGGAGAUUUUGGAGAUCCCUGGUCCAGAAUUCCAUUUACCUUCUGGGCCAGAUACCACCAGAAUGCCCGCUCCAGAUUCCCUCAGACCUUUGCCGGUCCCAUUAUUGGUCCUGGUGGUACAGCCAGUGCCAACUUCGCUGCCAACUUUGGUGCCAUUGGUUUCUUCUGGGUUGAGUGAGAUGUUGGGUAGGUAUAUCACUUUGGAUUGGGCAGUUAGGAUCUCUGGGGGAUAUAGGGUCCAUGGGGUUGUAUUUAUGUGCAUGAGCUAGGAGUAUUAGGAAACUCAUUGUAGGGAGAUGAGGAAAGUAUGGGGCAGCACUCUUUGGUAUGUAUAUUCCUUAUUAUUUGAUAUAUAUCAUUGAUUUUUUUACUUCUUCUUUCUUAUAUUCACAGAUAUUGCUAUCAAUCGCAGUAGUCUUUCCCCUGUGUGAGGCUGAAGCCUCAGAUUCCUUCUAAACACAGCUAUCUAGAGAGCCACAUCCUGUUGACUGAAAGUGGCAUGCAAGAUAAAUUUAUUUGCUGUUCCUUGUCUACUGCUUUUUUUCCCCUUGUGUGCUGUCAAGUUUUGGUAUCAGAAAUAAACAUUGAAAUUGCAAAGUGAA